RNAcentral lists this long non-coding RNA (1003 nucleotides) under Homo sapiens (human). RNAcentral's name for it is "HSALNT0381183". Lineage: Eukaryota; Metazoa; Chordata; Mammalia; Primates; Hominidae. The record is from RNAcentral.
GCUGAACAUGGGAGCUGCUUAACAACCAGGUCCAAAAGUGGGAGCAUUCUCAAAGUAACACUUUCCUCCCUGACUUACACAGUGAUAGGACAGAAAUACAAUGGCUGUCAAAGAAGAAAACUCUACAUUACUGUCACCUAGAAAGACAGUGGGAUAAAUGAUGUAUAUAUUCUGUGGAAUUGUUUCCCUGAAUCCUCAGAACAGACUUAUGAGGGCCUAUGAAGAUAAGCAGGGCCUAAGAUGAUGAAGAUCUAAUCUUUCAUUGGAAGACACUUGGGUGAUGCUAUAGGAUAAUGAAGAUUUCAUCUUCCGUUGGAGGAUACCUCAGAUGUCCAGAUCUUUAGGUCUUUUCUUUUAGGCUUUGGCUGUAUCUAGCAUAUCUCAAUCCAGAAACUUUCUGGUCCACAUUCUGCACAGUACACUUAACUCAGGUGGCCUGCUGAGGUCCUCAAAGGGGUCCUGUAGCUGAACUGGAAAAUGGAAAAGGCCGAAGCCAUUCUUCUUUCUGAGGUUUUGCAAUGAAAACUGUCCUGUAUUUUGUUGACCUCCCACUGCCAUUGCUUCACCACCAUCUACACCCACACCUCCCCACCCCCAGACACUGGGCUUCAUGUUUCUCUGAGAACAUGGACUUCAAUUCACCAUCUUAAUUCAGAAGUAUAAUGAUUUAAGAAGGCUCAGCUGCAGAUAUGUAAAGAGAGAUUUGCAAAAGCAUAAUCAAGUCAAGUCAUGGCAAGGUCAUAAGAAGCAGUCACAAAAGCAGCAGUAAUUUGAGUGCGAAUGGCAGUUUUCAUCAUGACUAUGCCCGUUCACAGGGACUCUUUGAAACAGAAGUUUGGUUGGAAGCAUUUCCCAUUCUGCUUGUGGCAGGGCAUGAAAGGGGCACAGAGGCUAUGGAUGCAUUGUUCCCCAGGCCCAGGCUCCUUCCUGGCUGUGUGAUGAUGGGCAAGUUGCUGGCCUCUCCAGUUGUGUCUUUGGAAAAUAGAUGUAAUUGCACCUACCU